UACACUCCUACGGGAGGCAGCAGUGGGGAAUAUUGCACAAUGGGCGCAAGCCUGAUGCAGCCAUGCCGCGUGUAUGAAGAAGGCCUUCGGGUUGUAAAGUACUUUCAGCGGGGAGGAAGGCGAUAAGGUUAAUAACCUUGUUGAUUGACGUUACCCGCAGAAGAAGCACCGGCUAACUCCGUGCCAGCAGCCGCGGUAAUACGGAGGGUGCAAGCGUUAAUCGGAAUUACUGGGCGUAAAGCGCACGCAGGCGGUCUGUCAAGUCGGAUGCGAAAUCCCCGGGCUCAACCUGGGAACUGCAUUCGAAACUGGCAGGCUAGAGUCUUGUAGAGGGGGGUAGAAUUCCAGGUGUAGCGGUGAAAUGCGUAGAGAUCUGGAGGAAUACCGGUGGCGAAGGCGGCCCCCUGGACAAAGACUGACGCUCAGGUGCGAAAGCGUGGGGAGCAAACAGGAUUAGAUACCCCGGUAGUCCC
RNAcentral lists this ribosomal RNA (473 nucleotides) under uncultured organism. RNAcentral describes it as "partial 16S ribosomal RNA". It matches the Rfam family "Bacterial small subunit ribosomal RNA", at positions 332 to 797 of the family's 1533-position model. The record is from RNAcentral.